AUUGAACGCUGGCGGCAGGCCUAACACAUGCAAGUCGAGCGGAUGAAGGGAGCUUGCUCCUGGAUUCAGCGGCGGACGGGUGAGUAAUGCCUAUGAAUCUGCCUGGUAGUGGGGGAUAACGUCCUGAAACGGGCGCUAAUACCGCAUACUUCCUUAGGGAGAAAGUGGGGGUUCUUCGGACCUCACGCUAUCAUAUGAGCCUAGGUCGGAUUAGCUAGUUGGUGGGGUAAAGGCCUACCAAGGCGACGAUCCGUAACUGGUCUGAGAGGAUGAUCAGUCACACUGGAACUGAGACAAGGUCCAGACUCCUACGGGAGGCAGCAGUGGGGAAUAUUGGACAAUGGGCGAAAGCAUGAUCCAGCAAUGCCGCGUGUGUGAAGAAGGUCUUCGGAUUGUAAAGCACUUUAAGUUGGGAGGAAGGGCAGUAAGUUAAUACCUUGCUGUUUUGACGUUACCAACAGAAUAAGCACCGGCUAACUUCGUG
This 484-nucleotide ribosomal RNA is filed under the name uncultured bacterium. RNAcentral's name for it is "partial 16S ribosomal RNA". It matches the Rfam family "Bacterial small subunit ribosomal RNA", at positions 30 to 507 of the family's 1533-position model. The record is from RNAcentral.